CAGCCUCUCUGGCGACCUCCCGACUCGCUCUGGAGCUCCCCUGUGUGCCCCCUCCCCACGUGGCACAGCAUGUCCUCUCCUCUUGGAAACCACUCCAAGCCAUGACGUCAAUGUUGAUGCAUUUCAGGCCACAUUCCUUUUAGUCUCCGGAGAAGUUCUUUACAAAAAGCAUGAAAGGUGGAAUCAAAUAGUUCCUGGGAUCAUCUCCAGUCUGAGACAUCACAUUUGCACUUUAAGCAAAUGAUUCAGAUACUAAAAUUCAAGCCCUAAAUAUGCCUUUUCAACUACAAACUAAUUAUUUGUGUCUAAA
Homo sapiens (human) is the source of this 310-nucleotide long non-coding RNA. Ensembl annotates it as long intergenic non-protein coding RNA 398. NCBI's taxonomy places the organism in Eukaryota, Metazoa, Chordata, Mammalia, Primates, Hominidae. The record is from Ensembl.